RNAcentral lists this long non-coding RNA (565 nucleotides) under Salvia miltiorrhiza (redroot sage). RNAcentral describes it as "long non-coding RNA (SMIL_LNC000392)". Lineage: Eukaryota; Viridiplantae; Streptophyta; Magnoliopsida; Lamiales; Lamiaceae. The record is from RNAcentral.
UGCAGAAACUCAAACACACAAGCAAAAUACCUUUCAACACAAAAAUCAUUCCCAGUCUUCCUUAGCAGUUCACAUCGAAGAAGGUAGUAUCCCUUUUCAUACAAUACAGCUCAAUAUUUGUGUUAAAGCAACAACCAUGAAUAGUAAUGAACAAUAACUAUAAACAUAUCUCUAAUUCUAAUUUUACAACGCAGUCUCAGUUCCUCAAUAAGCGGAAACAGACCCCUCUUGGGAACGAAUUGGUGAUUGGAGAUAUAAGGUGGAGUUUGGUGAAUGGAGAGAUAAGGUAGUUCUUGGAGUGGAUGGGGAACUAACUACUAACAUCUAACAUGACUUUGCCCGAUCAAAAAAAAAACAUAUAAAAAAAAUAGGAUUUUGAGCAGUAGUCGAAGCUGCCGCACAGGAGACACCUAGAAUCAUCAAUUCCUGAAAUAGAAAAUAGAUAGGAAGUUUGUUAAAUUGGAUUUUGAACUGGAAAAUAGAGAAGAGGGAAAGGAUGAAGGAGGAGGGGGAUAGCAACAGUAGCAGCGAGCCACCGCGGCGGUGACGCGACUGGCGGCGGCGA